AUGAAAAACAUAUAUAAGUUCCUUAAUACGCAAGAUAUCCCAUGGGUGAAGUUAGUUUGGGAAUCUUACUAUCAAUCUGGUCUUCCACCAGAUCAAACUGCUGAUUGCUCCUUUUGGUGGAGAGAUUGUAUUAAGCUUCUGCCCAAAUUCAAGGAACUUGCUAUUUGCGAUGCUCAUGAUGGAAAUACAGUACGUACUCUUUUGGAAAAACAAAUGGCAAAGGAAUACACCGCAAGCAACCUCGCCUUAUUUAUUCUCCUUCGCGCUCAAGGAAAACUCCUCAGUCCAGCAAAUUAUGCAGCAAGAUUUCACCCCUGA
RNAcentral lists this ribosomal RNA (318 nucleotides) under Triticum aestivum (bread wheat). Its description in RNAcentral is "partial small subunit ribosomal RNA". Lineage: Eukaryota; Viridiplantae; Streptophyta; Magnoliopsida; Poales; Poaceae. The record is from RNAcentral.